Ribosomal RNA from Petromyzon marinus (sea lamprey), 119 nucleotides. NCBI's taxonomy places the organism in Eukaryota, Metazoa, Chordata, Hyperoartia, Petromyzontiformes, Petromyzontidae. The record is from Ensembl.
GCCUACGACCAUAUCACCCUGAAUGUUCCCGAUCUCGUCUGAUCUCGGAAGCUAAGCAUGGUCGAGCCUGAUUAGUACUUGGAUGGGAGACUGCCUGGGAAUAACAGGUGUUGUAGGCU